Molecule: long non-coding RNA, 648 nt
Filed under: Gossypium barbadense (sea-island cotton)
Lineage: Eukaryota; Viridiplantae; Streptophyta; Magnoliopsida; Malvales; Malvaceae
Description: long non-coding RNA (GBAR_LNC002634)
Source: RNAcentral
UUUAGUUCUCUUUGGGAUUGAGUUCUAUUUUGAGUUAUUGUUGAGUUCCUCUAUUGGAGUUUUAAGUGGAUUCAAGGUCAUCAUUGGAUCGUAUAAGGGUGGGUUUCAGUUUUGAGCUUUUUCCAUCGAUUUUGGGGCUUUAUGUGAGGUUGUUUUACGUUAGUGGAGGGUGAUGCGCGGCUUGUUUGGUGGUGGUAUCUGGGAAGAGAUUUGUGUUGAAUCAUAAUCAAGGUUCUGAAAGUGAUUAAAGUCGAUGAAGCAAACUUGGAAUCGUUGAUGACAUGAAGACUAAUCAUCUAUAGGGAGGUUUUGGUAAGUUGUUGGGAGGUCUUGGGGUAUUUUUUUCUUCAAUCUUGUUUGGGAGAGGAUGAUUGUGGCAGAUGGUUGCAACUAUGGGGGCUUAUGGUGAACGGUGAUAACUUGCUUUGUCGGUUUAUGGAUGAAUGAGGUGGUGUUUUGUGGAGAACUUUGAUGUUUCUCAUGGGCUUUGUGCUGAUGAUUUUGUUUUUCAGGAUUGCCUGUGAUUUUGUGGUUGAGUUUCCAUAUCUUUGGUGAUUAGGAGCUUAAUGGUUGGUAGAUUUUAACCAUAUGCGGGUUUUGCAUUUUGUCUGGUUAUCAUGGCGUAUAUGGUGUAGAAUUGAAUUCGGC